CUGUGAUUUAUAUCUUAUACACAUGCGUGAGCGCACCAAACACCUAAAAUUGUAAUAAUACCAGUCACUAAGUUUUAACAAAACAAAACUUUCAACAACGGAUCUCUUGGUUCUCGCAUCGAUGAAGAGCGCAGCGAAAUGCGAUACCUAGUGUGAAUUGCAGCCAUCGUGAAUCAUCGAGUUCUUGAACGCACAUUGCGCCCCAUGGUAUUCCAUGGGGCAUGCCUGUCUGAGCGUCGUUUCCUUCUUGCGCAAGCAGAGUUGAGAACAGGCUAUGCCUUUUUCGAAAUGGAACGUCGUGGACGAAGUGAACUAAACAUUUAGCACGCUUUGGCCGCCGAACUUUUAACUAAGCUCGACCUCAGAUCAGGUAGG
Molecule: ribosomal RNA, 375 nt
Filed under: saccharomycete sp. MVCH-V47
Lineage: Eukaryota; Fungi; Ascomycota; Saccharomycetes
Description: eukaryotic LSU rRNA
Rfam family: 5.8S ribosomal RNA (bases 87-239)
Source: RNAcentral